RNAcentral lists this ribosomal RNA (402 nucleotides) under bacterium. Its description in RNAcentral is "partial 16S ribosomal RNA". It matches the Rfam family "Bacterial small subunit ribosomal RNA", at positions 355 to 776 of the family's 1533-position model. The record is from RNAcentral.
UGGGGAAUUUUGCACAAUGGGGGAAACCCUGAUGCAGCGACGCCGCGUGAUUUAGAAGGCCUUUGGGUUGUAAAAAUCUUUUUUACGGGAUGAAAAUGACAGAACCGUAAGAAUAAGGUCCGCCUAAAUACGUGCCAGCAGCCGCGGUAAUACGUAUGGACCGAGCGUUGUCCGGAAUCAUUGGGCGUAAAGGGUACGUAGGCGGCCUAGUAAGUUAGAAGUGAAAUAAUAUAGCUCAACUAUAUAAAGCUUUUAAAACUGCUAGGCUUGAGAGAUGGAAGGGAAAGUGGAAUUCCUAGUGUAGCGGUGAAAUGCGCAGAUAUUAGGAAGAAUACCGGUGGCGAAGGCGACUUUCUGGUCAUCAUCUGACGCUGAGGUACGAAAGCGUGGGUAGCAAACAGG